RNAcentral lists this long non-coding RNA (381 nucleotides) under Gallus gallus (chicken). The record is from RNAcentral. Lineage: Eukaryota; Metazoa; Chordata; Aves; Galliformes; Phasianidae.
GGCGAUGCUUGCAGGUGCAGUGUUUCUCAUACCCCGUAUUCUUCCUCUUAGAUUCUGGCAUUUGGGUGUAGAGGUACAAGGCUGCUGAGACAGAAGAAUUCUGCUGGAUAUCAGGAUGAGAGGAAGAAUUUGCUAAAAAAGAUGCCGGCACCUACAGCGGUCUCAUGGAGUGCCACAAAGCAAAGCCUCACCAUGCUUGUGGGAUUCAGAACCACAGUUGGAAGGGGACUAUGGCCUCUCAGUCAUAGGCAGGACCUAAAUGCAGCUGCUUGCUGAAGUGGCAGCUUCCAGGAGGAUGUGAGGCCAACAGGCUCCUGGAAAAACGGUCUGGGGAGGUGGGAGCCUUGGUGCCUUUCUUGUCAUAAAGUUUUUGAACACUGA